Molecule: long non-coding RNA, 102 nt
Organism: Cotesia glomerata
Lineage: Eukaryota; Metazoa; Arthropoda; Insecta; Hymenoptera; Braconidae
Exons: 2
Source: RefSeq, a predicted model, not a curated record
CUGUUCGAGCAAUGUACAGAUACUACAAACGUCUUGAUGAUUGUUGCCUGUAGGUGGCACUACUUGUUCAUUGAGCGAAGUUUGAAACGAUGAUAUUUCUUA